CGUGUAGGCGGCUUGACAAGUCAGAUGUGAAAUCCCUGGGCUUAACCCAGGAAGUGCAUUUGAAACUGUCAGGCUAGAGUAAGGGAGAGGAAAGUGAAAUUCCUGGUGUAGAGGUGAAAUUCGUAGAUAUCAGGAGGAACACCGGUGGCGAAGGCGACUUUCUGGCCCUAUACUGACGCUGAGACGCGAAAGCGUGGGUAGCAAACA
RNAcentral lists this ribosomal RNA (207 nucleotides) under uncultured Syntrophaceae bacterium. RNAcentral's name for it is "partial 16S ribosomal RNA". It matches the Rfam family "Bacterial small subunit ribosomal RNA", at positions 568 to 774 of the family's 1533-position model. The record is from RNAcentral. Lineage: Bacteria; Pseudomonadati; Thermodesulfobacteriota; Syntrophia; Syntrophales; Syntrophaceae.